GAUGAACGCUGGCGGCGUGCCUAACACAUGCAAGUCGAACGAAGCACCUUACCUGAUUCUUCGGAUGAAAGUUUGGUGACUGAGUGGCGGACGGGUGAGUAACGCGUGGGUAACCUGCCCUGUACAGGGGGAUAACAGCUGGAAACGGCUGCUAAUACCGCAUAAGCGCACGAGGAGACAUCUCCUUGUGUGAAAAACUCCGGUGGUACAGGAUGGGCCCGCGUCUGAUUAGCUGGUUGGCAGGGUAACGGCCUACCAAGGCAACGAUCAGUAGCCGGUCUGAGAGGAUGAACGGCGACAUUGGAACUGAGACACGGUCCAAACUCCUACGGGAGGCAGCAGUGGGGAAUAUUGCACAAUGGGGGAAACCCUGAUGCAGCAACGCCGCGUGAGUGAAGAAGUAUUUCGGUAUGUAAAGCUCUAUCAGCAGGGAAGAUAAUGACGGUACCUGACUAAGAAGCUCCGGCUAAAUACGUG
RNAcentral lists this ribosomal RNA (477 nucleotides) under uncultured bacterium. RNAcentral describes it as "partial 16S ribosomal RNA". It matches the Rfam family "Bacterial small subunit ribosomal RNA", at positions 28 to 507 of the family's 1533-position model. The record is from RNAcentral.